Molecule: ribosomal RNA, 404 nt
Filed under: uncultured bacterium
Lineage: Bacteria
Description: partial 16S ribosomal RNA
Rfam family: Bacterial small subunit ribosomal RNA
Source: RNAcentral
GACGAACGCUGGCGGCGUGCUUAACACAUGCAAGUCGAGCGGAGCGGCGAACGGGUGAGUAACGCGUGAGUAACUGGCCCCCUCUCUGGGAUAACAGUUGGCACCGGCUGCUAAUACCGGAUAGUGGGGGAUGACUCGCGUCCUAUCAGCUUGUUGGUGGGGUAGUGGCCUACCAAGGCGACGACGGGUAGCCGGCCUGAGAGGGCGACCGGCCAAAUUGGGCUGAGGUACGGCACAAACUCCUACGGGAGGAAGCAGUGGGGAAUAUUGCACAAUGGGGGAAACCCUGAUGCAGCAACGCGCGUGGGGGAUGACGGCCUUCGGGUUGUAAACCGCUUUCAGCCAUGACGCGGUAGUGGCAGAAGAAGCACCGGCUAACUACGUGCCAGCAGCCGCGGUAAUUC